RNAcentral lists this ribosomal RNA (116 nucleotides) under Streptococcus pneumoniae. Lineage: Bacteria; Bacillati; Bacillota; Bacilli; Lactobacillales; Streptococcaceae. The record is from RNAcentral.
UUAAGUGACGAUAGCCUAGGAGAUACACCUGUACCCAUGCCGAACACAGAAGUUAAGCCCUAGAACGCCGGAAGUAGUUGGGGGUUGCCCCCUGUGAGAUAGGGACGUCGCUUAGC